Anguilla anguilla (European eel) is the source of this 67-nucleotide small nucleolar RNA. RefSeq annotates it as small nucleolar RNA SNORD58. The record is from RefSeq and is a predicted model, not a curated record. The transcript has a single exon. Lineage: Eukaryota; Metazoa; Chordata; Actinopteri; Anguilliformes; Anguillidae.
UUGCAAUGAUGACUACUUAGGACACCUUUGGAUAACCCAUGAAAAGACUUAACACGAUCUGAGCAAC